CCGGUGCUGCAGGAGGUGGCGGAUUUCUUCAGUGGCCACGGAAUCGAGGACUUCACCUUCAGCAGGGGCAGGCUGGUAGGACAGGAGGAACAGCGACAAGCGACGGGAUGAAGCCCGGCCAUGGAAAACCACCGCAGCCUUCAAGACCUCGACGGCGGUCGGUGCUAUGGGGAUCCUAAUCAACAUGCAGUUCCCGGGGCCGCAGAUCGACGCCGUCACCAACGACAACAUCGUCAUCAAUGUCUUCAACAACCUGAUCUGAUAUUGUUCUGAGAUCCAGUGGCAUCUCUAUCCUCUUACAACUAAUAACAUUUUUUAACUUCUUUUGGCCGUGCUUUUGCUUUCACUACAGAUCAGAUCAGUGGUGAAAGAAAGAAACAAGUGCACAACUAGUAUCAGUGGGCUUGUAUUUUUCUUGUGUAGCUGCUCUGCACUUGUUGUAGAGCAUAGCUUGCAUCAGUAUUUUUACCUAUUUUUGACCUCUCAUUCUGAAAUACAUCUAGCAGGUGCGGCUAGUACUCUAUUAUUCUCCUACAUAUAGCUAUAUAUGCAUAUAAAAGGGCAAGUACUUGGAUGACCUUGACAACAUCAUACUGAUUGUAAUAACUUUGCAUAAGACUUUGUAUUCGAAGACUUCUCGCAAUUUAUCAUGCAAUUCUAAACAAUAGCAUAUAUCUAUCUACCCUGCUGGGAAUUUUCACUUUAUAUAAAAAUUUGAGAGGCAAAUGCUGGGAGUUCCAGUCUUGUCUGAUGGCUAGGAACUCAACUCUGCUUCUUGUUGUUGGAGUUUCAGGCUUGUUGCAUAGUUCGUAGCUUCAAGUGUACUCUGGCUUCUAGCCACAGUGCACUACAAAUUAUUAUAGAAUUACAAAGUGUACACAACAUUGCACCUUACACAUUCUUCUCUUGUGAAAUCAACUGCCAUGACUGGGCAUUCUUUUAUCAACUUGUUGUACACUUGCUCUGCUUUAGGCUAAUGUAUAACUUGUGCCUUUUAACUUGAUGUACAUAACAUGCAAUUUUUUUACUGUAUCACAUUCACACAUGAUACUCUUAAUAUAGAGUUGUUUUCCAAGCUAGUUCUGUUUACUCUUAAUAUAGGUCUAUUUGUCACCAAUACUUGCCUGCUAUGCUAUAGUAGACCUUGUUCAUAUUUAUUAGCUAAGUUUGCUUGUCCUUGGUAUCUAUAUGCAUGCCAUUUGUGUUUCAGGCUUUCUCUGAAAUGAAAUAAUAGGUCUAUUAGUCACCAAUACUUGAGUUAAUCUAACUCCUUACCUGCUAUGCUAUAGUAGGCCUUGUUCAUAUUUAUUAGCGAAGUUUGCUUGUCCACAGUGAUCCAUAUACAUGCCAUUUGUGUUUAACGUUCUUUGAAAUGAAAUAAUAAGAUUCACACUCCAUGGACCAGGAUGACCACCGGGACCUCCACGGCGAUGAUGAAGCCUGCACAUGGCCGAGCUCGAUGGAACAACAGUGCCUCAGUGUGGUGCAGCCGAGUUGGGCCACUCCAGUGCAUCAGGAACUCUGCAUGUUGCUGUCCUUUGUCUCAUCAUCUUAACUACUACAGUAGUAGGAGUAUUUUAUAUGCUGUUCAUUUCUUGGCCACCCAGCAUGUUUGCUAAUCAUCCAUCUGCCUCAUGUUAUAUGAUCCCUACCUAGUAACUUCAUUGUAUGCAGACUUGUGGUGUUGGUUCAGUUUAGUCAAAUUAAUAUA
Aegilops tauschii subsp. strangulata is the source of this 1711-nucleotide non-coding RNA. The record is from RefSeq and is a predicted model, not a curated record. Lineage: Eukaryota; Viridiplantae; Streptophyta; Magnoliopsida; Poales; Poaceae.